Molecule: ribosomal RNA, 340 nt
Filed under: uncultured cyanobacterium
Lineage: Bacteria; Bacillati; Cyanobacteriota
Description: bacterial SSU rRNA
Rfam family: Bacterial small subunit ribosomal RNA
Source: RNAcentral
UUAGCUAUUUUGUGAGGUAAAGGCUCACCAAGGCGACGAUCAGUAGCUGGUCUGAGAGGAUGAUCUGCCACACUGGGACUGAGACACGGCCCAGACUCCUACGGGAGGCAGCAGUGGGGAAUUUUGGNCAAUGGGCGAAAGCCUGAUCCAGCCAUUCCGCGUGUNUGAAGAAGGCCUUCGGGUUGUAAAGCACUUUUGUCUAGGANCAAAUCNCCUUUCUUAAUACGGGAAAAGNAUGAGAGUACUUGAAGAAUAAGCCCCGGCUAACUACGUGCCAGCAGCCGCGGUAAUACGUANGGUGCAAAGCGUUAAUCGGAAUUAUUGGGCGUAAAGCGUCCGA